CAAGUUAAAGCUUUAUUAAGCAUUUUAGUUACAUUAAAAAGAUAAAUUGUGGAACAAUUUAAUUUGA
RNAcentral lists this transfer RNA (67 nucleotides) under Nisotra sp. BMNH 846636. RNAcentral's name for it is "tRNA-Val". Lineage: Eukaryota; Metazoa; Arthropoda; Insecta; Coleoptera; Chrysomelidae. The record is from RNAcentral.